Molecule: long non-coding RNA, 482 nt
Filed under: Citrus x clementina
Lineage: Eukaryota; Viridiplantae; Streptophyta; Magnoliopsida; Sapindales; Rutaceae
Description: Citrus clementina (C. clementina) long non-coding RNA (CCLE_LNC000596)
Source: RNAcentral
ACUGGUGAUAUCUCUGGUCUUGGUCCAUUUGAGUUGGAGGCAUUGCAGGACUGGGAGUAUAAGUUCAUGAGCAAGUAUGUUAAGGUUGGAUCUAUCAAGUCGACAGUUCCAGUAACAGAUGGAGCCUCCUCUGGUGAAUCCACUGAGCCUAAAGAAGGAGUUGUUGAUACACCUGCAGAAAGUAAAGGAGUUGUUGAUACACCUGCAGAAACUAAAGAAGUAGAUAUCGCUAAGCCUGCUGAAUAUGGUCCGUCAGAAACUGCAGCCGCUGGACCUGAGGCAACCCCAUCUUCUGAUGAUACUAAGAAGGAGUAAGCCGAACCCCAUCUGUUGAUGAUGCUGAGGAGUAGAAUUUAAUCAUAAGGCAAACCCCAUCUGUUUGGCUGCGUGUAUUUGUGAAUUUUUUCACAUAUUAGUAAGUUUACAUUGUUAGUCUAGGAAACUUCUAUCGCAGACUUGUUUUUUAAUGCUUAAUUUUGUCG